AUGGGGUUCACGAAAGUAGCAACAUGAGCUUUGUUAUCAUGGCUAAAACAUCAUGAAAAGCUGCUUUUUUCCAUCAAUUUAAAGGUUAUUUGGAUCAUCUUUACUGUUUGUUCAUAAUUUGGUUAACCGGGGAUAUACGCAAGAUCAACAGCAACUUUGGGUUUUGAUAAGGAAAUAUUUCCAAUCUGAUGAGGAGAUCGAAAGCUUUUAGCAAUGGGUUUUGAUAAGGUUGAAGUCGCCAUAGCUACUACUAAUGGCGAUCUCAAUGUAGCUGUUGAAUUGGUUGGUAUGGUAACAGUUUGGAGCUGGUCCUAGGUUGAAGCCAAACGGUCCGGGUUGGGCCGAUCCAUCCACACCUUUUGUCUUUCUUUAUAGGGCUUUACUGAUUAUGUUUCUCAUUACAAGAAUCAUUUUUUUAUAAAUGGGUUGACUUAUACGUGUUGGUUGUUUAUGAGCACAUUAAUAUGACACGCGAAUGUAGCUCAAGGAGGUCCAUGUUUGUGGGUAUCUGCAUCUAUAUCCCAUGACCUCUCUAAUAUUACCUUUUUCAUUAUUUAGUUUCUGUUUACACGGGAGUAACACUUGAACCUUAUAACCACCAAUAUAUAAAUACAUAUAUUU
This 621-nucleotide long non-coding RNA is filed under the name Helianthus annuus (common sunflower). Lineage: Eukaryota; Viridiplantae; Streptophyta; Magnoliopsida; Asterales; Asteraceae. The record is from RNAcentral.